This 598-nucleotide ribosomal RNA is filed under the name uncultured bacterium. Its description in RNAcentral is "bacterial SSU rRNA". It matches the Rfam family "Bacterial small subunit ribosomal RNA", at positions 915 to 1508 of the family's 1533-position model. The record is from RNAcentral.
GGGGGCCCGCACAAGCGGCGGAGCAUGCGGAUUAAUUCNAUGCAACGCGAAGAACCUUACCAAGGCUUGACAUGUGCCAGACCGCCGUGGAAACACGGUUUCCCCUUUGGGGCUGGUUCACAGGUGGUGCAUGGUUGUCGUCAGCUCGUGUCGUGAGAUGUUGGGUUAAGUCCCGCAACGAGCGCAACCCUCGUUCCAUGUUGCCAGCGCGUAAAGGCGGGGACUCAUGGGAGACUGCCGGGGUCAACUCGGAGGAAGGUGGGGACGACGUCAAAUCAUCAUGCCCCUUAUGUCUUGGGCUUCACGCAUGCUACAAUGGCCGGUACAAUGGGUUGCGAUACUGUGAGGUGGAGCUAAUCCCAAAAAGCCGGUCUCAGUUCGGAUUGGGGUCUGCAACUCGACCCCAUGAAGUCGGAGUCGCUAGUAAUCGCAGAUCAGCAACGCUGCGGUGAAUACGUUCCCGGGCCUUGUACACACCGCCCGUCAAGUCACGAAAGUUGGUAACACCCGAAGCCGGUGGCCUAACCCCUUGUGGGAGGGAGCUGUCGAAGGUGGGACCGGCGAUUGGGACUAAGUCGUAACAAGGUAACCGAAGGGC